GGGUUGUGAGGUUAAGCGACUAAGCGUACACGGUGGAUGCCCUGGCAGUCAGAGGCGAUGAAGGACGUGCUAAUCUGCGAUAAGCGCCGGUAAGGUGAUAUGAACCGUUAUAACCGGCGAUUUCCGAAUGGGGAAACCCAGUGUGAUUCGUCACACUAUCAUUAACUGAAUCCAUAGGUUAAUGAGGCGAACCGGGGGAACUGAAACAUCUAAGUACCCCGAGGAAAAGAAAUCAACCGAGAUUCCCCCAGUAGCGGCGAGCGAACGGGGAGGAGCCCAGAGCCUGAAUCAGCAUAUGUGUUAGUGGAAGCGUCUGGAAAGGCGCGCGAUACAGGGUGACAGCCCCGUACACAAAAGCGCAUGUGCUGUGAGCUCGAUGAGUAGGGCGGGACACGUGGUAUCCUGUCUGAAUAUGGGGGGACCAUCCUCCAAGGCUAAAUACUCCUGACUGACCGAUAGUGAACCAGUACCGUGAGGGAAAGGCGAAAAGAACCCCGGCGAGGGGAGUGAAAAAGAACCUGAAACCGUGUACGUACAAGCAGUGGGAGCCCCACCACUAAGCCAGUGGUGAACUCCACAUACGCAUCCUUUGCUGAGGAUACGGUUAACGGAGCGAAAGCGACGUUCAACCUCAAAAGAAGCAGAGGGGGC
This 651-nucleotide ribosomal RNA is filed under the name Salmonella enterica subsp. enterica serovar Napoli. RNAcentral's name for it is "partial 23S ribosomal RNA". It matches the Rfam family "Bacterial large subunit ribosomal RNA", at positions 1 to 667 of the family's 2925-position model. The record is from RNAcentral. Lineage: Bacteria; Pseudomonadati; Pseudomonadota; Gammaproteobacteria; Enterobacterales; Enterobacteriaceae.